This 150-nucleotide long non-coding RNA is filed under the name Oncorhynchus mykiss (rainbow trout). RNAcentral describes it as "lncRNA (ENSOMYG00000049942.1)". Lineage: Eukaryota; Metazoa; Chordata; Actinopteri; Salmoniformes; Salmonidae. The record is from RNAcentral.
ACAUAGCAGAGGAGGGGUUCAGCACUAGACCAGGACAGACAUAACAGAGGGGUUCAGCUCUAGACCAGGACAGACAUAACAGAGGGGUUCAGCACUGGACCAGGACAGACAUAACAGAGGGGUUCAGCACUGGACCAGGACAGACAUAAC